This 2059-nucleotide long non-coding RNA is filed under the name Lactuca sativa (garden lettuce). Its description in RNAcentral is "long non-coding RNA (LSAT_LNC009133)". The record is from RNAcentral. Lineage: Eukaryota; Viridiplantae; Streptophyta; Magnoliopsida; Asterales; Asteraceae.
ACAUAUACAUUUUAAAACAUAAAAAUGUCAACAAACAUAAAGCUACUCCAUACAUUAUUAAAGACAAAAACACAAUAAAAGGCGAACAAUAAAUUGAAGUUUUGACAAAACCAUGAAAGAUAACACAAUCAACUCUUAUAGAAAAAUAAAACACACCAAUCGAAACUUUGAAAACGAACUAACUUGCCCCCUCAUCAACCUGAAAAGAAUACCAAAAAGCCAUGGUUAGUCCAAAUCUGCAUUAAAACCAAAAAACAGACAUGAAACAUUGGAAUGCAAAAGUAGAGCAGAAACAAACUAUGGGGCUUUGAGAAUUGUACUCCACUUAAUUGACCUUUUCUCGGAAAAACUUGCCCCAACAUCUUCUUUUGUUUCUCCAAUCUCUAUUAAGGAACACAAAGAAAAAAAACAGACCAUACUAAAGUUACAUUUGUAAGAAACAUAUGGAACACAUUUCAAAAUAAGUCUUAAUUUAUUAGCUUAAUUUCUAAAAUAGGUUAAACUAAUUAGAUGAAUAAAAAAAAGAGAAAAGCUGAUUAAACAUAAAAAUCUAAAAUAGUAAAAUUUGAAAGUUGGUUGCUAUUAAUUGUAAAUAAGUCAAAGUAACUUGUUUAUUUUGGUAAAAUACAUUGACAUAUAGGAAAAUUUUAUUUCCAAAAGAAAAUUAGAAUUUAUAAAUUACCAAACAUGGAAUUGAUAAAAUAGAUUAAAUAGUCUCCACUAAUUGGCAUGAUAUUUGGUUUGAGUUUCAACCAGAGUAAUGACUAAUUUUUUUUACCAAACUUAAGGACCAGAAUGGUGUACGGGCAUCAGAAUGGUGUACAGGCAUCAAUAUAAGAGCUAUGUUGCUUGUUGGAAUAAAAAGGGGGUGUAUAAUUUCUAAUUUCUACAACUAUAACAUCUAUUUGUAGAUAAUAAAAGAAAGUAUUGUUUUGUACUUCCCAUGAACCACCUAUGUUUGAGCACUAAGAUAUAUAAGUAUUGAACCUGCCAUUAGCAGGUUAACUUAAACCCAUGCUAUUUAGUUAUAACUUUUUGGUUGAAUUUUUUGAGCAUUGAAAUUGUCAUACACAUGCACAUAAAAAUCAUUUUUUGUUAUUUUCUCUAUUUGCUAAGAACUACCGUAUGUAUCAUAGUUUAAUCUUCGAAUAUGUAUUUGUUGCUUUUGAAUUUGUUUCUCUUUUCUUCCAUUAUGCCCCACCAGCUUUACCAACCUGUCAAUUAUUCAAAGCACAUUUAAAAAAAAAACUCUAAAAUAACAAAACUUUAAAGUUCUAUAACAAAAAAAAGGAAAAUGGAAUAUCCUACACUGUAGUAACAGAUGUGUUGACAAGGCUAUCUUCUUCAAAUCGUUUCCUAAACUCUUACCAAAUAAUAUGACAUUGCUAUAACCGGAUAAGUAUUUUAAAGUACAUUGCUAGAAUAAGAAAAAUAUGAAAGUUAGAUAAUUUAAUCAACAAAUCAAUAAACAUACAUUACUAUUUCUUGCAUUUCACAGAUUUUCAUUUUAAGAAAACUUUUAAAAAAUAUUGUCUUAUUCAAAUACAUGUAUUUUUUGUUCAAUUUUAGAUGCAAAUACAAUUUAGGAACCAUGUUUUAGGACAAAAUGUAUCCUUCAUGCCUCUCGAUAUUGUACAGGUGCAAAAUCCAAGUUCCGCAACAAAAAAAAAAAGAUAAGUUUAAUAUAUUAGAGCAAAAUAAACAUUGAACAAACCAGUUAGAGCUCGAACAUCUGAUUAUAAAAAAACGAAGCAGUUAGUGCUCGAACUUGUGAUUACUUUGAAACGGAUAUUAGGAAUAAAACUUGUUAGAAGUCGAAGUCGGACCUGUUAGAAAAGCAAUUACCAAACAUGUGUGAUUACUUUGUCUCUAGUAAACAAUGCCAAAAGGAACCACUGACAAACAGGGGAAGGGAAUGAAAAAAGUAUAUUAGGCAAACAAAUGAAACAUCCUUCCCAAUCUUUGGAUCUAGAUACUCAAUAAGUAAAAAAAGAAACAACUUGUUGUUACAUUCAUAACAGAUGAAGAUGCAACUCCUGAAUGGUUCUUAGCAACCUAA